Molecule: ribosomal RNA, 494 nt
Filed under: uncultured bacterium
Lineage: Bacteria
Description: partial 16S ribosomal RNA
Rfam family: Bacterial small subunit ribosomal RNA
Source: RNAcentral
GACGAACGCUGACGGCGUGCUUAACACAUGCAAGUCGAACGGAAAGGCCUGCUUUCCCUUGUGGAUUGCGGGUACUCGAGUGGCGAACGGGUGAGUAACACGUGAGUGAUCUGCCCCCAACUUGGGUAUAAGCCUGGGAAACUGGGUCUAAUUCCCGAUAGGACUGCAGGGUGGUGCCUGUGGUGGAAAACGAUUUUCUAGUGGUUGGGGAUGAGCUCGCGGCCUAUCAGCUUGUUGGUGGGGUAAUGGCCUACCAAGGCGGCGACGGGUAGCCGGCCUGAGAGGGUGGACGGCCACAUUGGGACUGAGAUACGGCCCAGACUCCUACGGGAGGCAGCAGUGGGGAAUAUUGCACAAUGGGCGGAAGCCUGAUGCAGCGACGCCGCGUGGGGGAUGACGGCCUUCGGGUUGUAAACUCCUUUCGACCGCGAGGAAGCCACCUGGUUGGAAGGGUGGUGACGGUAGUGGUAGAAGAAGCACCGGCUAACUACGUG